UACGUAGGGCGCAAGCGUUAUCCGGAAUUAUUGGGCGUAAAGCGCACGUAGGCGGCUUGUUAAGUCAGGGGUGAAAUCCUGGAGCUCAACUCCAGAACUGCCUUUGAUACUGGCGAGCUUGAGUCCGGGAGAGGUGAGUGGAACUGCGAGUGUAGAGGUGAAAUUCGUAGAUAUUCGCAAGAACACCAGUGGCGAAGGCGGCUCACUGGCCCGGUACUGACGCUGAGGUGCGAAAGCGUGGGGAGCAAACAGG
Molecule: ribosomal RNA, 253 nt
Filed under: uncultured bacterium
Lineage: Bacteria
Description: partial 16S ribosomal RNA
Rfam family: Bacterial small subunit ribosomal RNA
Source: RNAcentral